Molecule: ribosomal RNA, 166 nt
Filed under: uncultured Pseudomonadota bacterium
Lineage: Bacteria; Pseudomonadati; Pseudomonadota
Description: uncultured proteobacterium partial 16S ribosomal RNA
Rfam family: Bacterial small subunit ribosomal RNA
Source: RNAcentral
CAUCCGGGGUGGACGAAUCUGAUCAGCCAUGCCGCGUGAGCGAUGAAGGCCUUCGGAUUGUAAGCUCUUUUUGUCAGGGAAGAAACUGCCCGGACUAGUACCCCACGAAACUGACGGUACCUGGACAACAACCACCGGCUUACUACGUGCCAGCAGCCGCGGUAAU